This 832-nucleotide ribosomal RNA is filed under the name uncultured bacterium. Its description in RNAcentral is "bacterial SSU rRNA". It matches the Rfam family "Bacterial small subunit ribosomal RNA", at positions 93 to 895 of the family's 1533-position model. The record is from RNAcentral.
UCGAGGGCACGGGGUGGGUAACGCGUGGGAAUCUACCCUUAAGACUGGGAUAACACCUCGAAAGGGGUGCUAAUACCGGAUACGCUCGUAAUCUCGUCGGAGGUUGCGAGGAAAGGUGGCGGAAGGCGCAAGCCUGCUACCACUUUAGGAUGGGCCCGCGUCCUAUUAGCUAGUUGGUGGGGUAAUGGCCUACCAAGGCGAUGAUGGGUAGCUGGUCUGAGAGGACGACCAGCCACACUGGGACUGAGACACGGCCCAGACUCCUACGGGAGGCAGCAGUGGGGAAUAUUUGUCAAUGGGCGAAAGCCUGAACAAGCGACGCCGCGUGGGCAAUGAAGGUCCUUGGAUCUUAAAGCCCUGUUCGGGGGAACGAAUGGAUCGGGAGCAAAUAGUUCCCGGUCUUUGACGGUACCUCCGCAGAAAGCCCCGGCUAACUACGUGCCAGCAGCCGCGGUAAUACGUAGGGGGCAAGCGUUGUCCGGAAUCACUGGGUGUAAAGGGCGUGUAGGCGACUCUUUAAGUUGAAUGUGAAAUCUCUCGGCUCAACUGAGAGCGGUCAUUCAAUACUGGAGGGAUACGAGGACGGAAGAGGGAAGUGGAAUUCUCGGUGUAGCGGUAAAAUGCGUAGAUAUCGAGAGGAACACCGGUGGCGAAGGCGGCUUCCUGGUCCGUUCCUGACGCUGAGGCGCGAAAGCUUGGGUAGCAAACGGGAUUAGAUACCCCGGUAGUCCAGGCCCUAAACGUUGACUACUAGGUGUUGGAGAGGUUCAAUCUCUUCAGUGCCGCAGCUAACGCGAUAAGUAGUCCACCUGGGGAGUACGGCCGCAAGACU